Regulatory RNA element from Buttiauxella agrestis ATCC 33320, 126 nucleotides. It matches the Rfam family "RtT RNA". Rfam says of the family: This family represents a bacterial cis-regulatory element known as RtT RNA. The exact function of RtT is unknown although it is thought that it may be involved in changing the cellular response in relation to amino acid starvation. Lineage: Bacteria; Pseudomonadati; Pseudomonadota; Gammaproteobacteria; Enterobacterales; Enterobacteriaceae. The record is from Rfam.
GAAUUAAGUGAGUCGUGAAGGGUUUGAACCUGCAGCAGGUUCGAGUUGAGCGAAAGCGAAACAGCGUUGCGUAGCAACGACCCGAAGGGUGAGGCCAAAGGCCGAAUCAUCCUGCACGCCCCACCA